This 210-nucleotide unclassified non-coding RNA is filed under the name soil metagenome. Its description in RNAcentral is "partial contains 5.8S ribosomal RNA, internal transcribed spacer 2, and large subunit ribosomal RNA". The record is from RNAcentral.
AACCUUAUGGACCUGCGGGCGUAUACCUGCGGAAGGAUCAUUACCGAGUUUACAACUCCCAAACCCCUGUGAACAUACCUAUAUGUUGCCUCGGCGGAUCAGCCCGCGCCCCGUAAAACGGGACGGCCCGCCGCAGGAUCCACAAACUCUGUUUUUAUUGUAACUUCUGAGUAACAAAACAAAUAAAUCAAAACUUUUAACAAUGGAUCU